AACGAACGCUGGCGGCAUGCCUAACACAUGCAAGUCGAACGAGAGCUUCGGGCCUAGUGCCGCACGGGUGCGUAACGCGUGGGAACCUGCCCUUAGGUUCGGAAUAACUCCCCGAAAGGGGUGCUAAUACCGGCUAUUGUCUUCGGACCAUAGAUUUAUCGCCUUUGGAUGGGCCCGCGUUGGAUUAGCUAGUUGGUAGGGUAAAAGCCUACCAAGGCGACGAUCCAUAGCUGGUCUGAGAGGAUGAUCAGCCACACUGGGACUGAGACACGGCCCAGACUCCUACGGGAGGCAGCAGUGGGGAAUAUUGGACAAUGGGCGAAAGCCUGAUCCAGCAAUGCCGCGUGAGUGAUGAAGGCCUUAGGGUUGUAAAGCUCUUUUACCCGGGAUGAUAAUGACAGUACCGGGAGAAUAAGCUCCGGCUAACUCCGUG
This 433-nucleotide ribosomal RNA is filed under the name uncultured bacterium. RNAcentral's name for it is "partial 16S ribosomal RNA". It matches the Rfam family "Bacterial small subunit ribosomal RNA", at positions 29 to 507 of the family's 1533-position model. The record is from RNAcentral.